GUGCUUACUCCAGCAGCACAUAUACUAAAAUUAGAAUGAUAUAGGGAAGAUUAGCAUGGCCCCUAGGCAAGGAUGACACAGAAAUUCAUGGAGUGUUCCAUAUUUUU
RNAcentral lists this small nuclear RNA (107 nucleotides) under Catagonus wagneri (Chacoan peccary). The record is from RNAcentral. Lineage: Eukaryota; Metazoa; Chordata; Mammalia; Artiodactyla; Tayassuidae.